Molecule: ribosomal RNA, 139 nt
Filed under: Staphylococcus agnetis
Lineage: Bacteria; Bacillati; Bacillota; Bacilli; Caryophanales; Staphylococcaceae
Description: partial 23S ribosomal RNA
Rfam family: Bacterial large subunit ribosomal RNA
Source: RNAcentral
AUGAAGCCCCCCUCAAGAUGAGAUUUCCCAACUUCGGUUAUAAGAUCCCUCAAAGAUGAUGAGGUUAAUAGGUUCGAGGUGGAAGCGUAGCGAUACGUGGAGCUGACGAAUACUAAUCGAUCGAAGACUUAAUCAAUUU